RNAcentral lists this transfer RNA (84 nucleotides) under Dictyobacter alpinus. RNAcentral's name for it is "tRNA-Tyr". It matches the Rfam family "tRNA". Rfam says of the family: Transfer RNA (tRNA) molecules are approximately 80 nucleotides in length. Their secondary structure includes four short double-helical elements and three loops (D, anti-codon, and T loops). Further hydrogen bonds mediate the characteristic L-shaped molecular structure. tRNAs have two regions of fundamental functional importance: the anti-codon, which is responsible for specific mRNA codon recognition, and the 3' end, to which the tRNAs corresponding amino acid is attached (by aminoacyl-tRNA synthetases). tRNAs cope with the degeneracy of the genetic code in two manners: having more than one tRNA (with a specific anti-codon) for a particular amino acid; and 'wobble' base-pairing, i.e. permitting non-standard base-pairing at the 3rd anti-codon position. Lineage: Bacteria; Bacillati; Chloroflexota; Ktedonobacteria; Ktedonobacterales; Dictyobacteraceae. RNAcentral also lists the same sequence under 2 other names. The record is from RNAcentral.
GGGCAGUUACCAAAGUGGACAAAUGGGACUGACUGUAAAUCAGUUGCGCAAGCUUCGAAGGUUCGAAUCCUCCACUGCCCACCA